CCAUCUUCAACCUUCUUCUUGCCAUUGAUAUUCUUUGGAGGGGAGAUUAGAGCCGUUUGAAGGGAUUUGUGAAAUCUUUCGGGAUUUCAAGGAUCUUUAGGACUUUCUUUAUUUCUUGCUAUUUCAUUUUAUUUCUUUAUUUCUACUUGUGCUGAAUCAUUAUCUAAUCUAUUUUCUGUUCUUAUUGUGUUUUCAGCCUUUUUCUAUCUUAAGGAAUCAGCCCAAAAAAAUCCCCAAUUUCUAGGGUUUUUUUAUACUCUUUUUGGGUGAAAUUAGAUUGUCGAAAUUUGGGGAAAACUAUCUUGGUGUUCAAUUGGGCAGAAUCACAAUCUCCUUGAGGGUUUCAAGAACCCUAACACUUAUUUCUAUUCUCUAUUUGAUUCUUUACUGUUUUGGGGAUUUUAUUUCAGAUCUGAAAAUUCAAAAAUCUAAUCUUUUAAUUUUCUGUUUCGUUUCAGAUCUAAUUGUUUAGGGUUUUCGUAGGAGUUUCUCGUGACUUGGCAACUCGAUCUUGGUCCGCGCGCAUCCCCGUAUCAUUUGGUAUCAGAUUUUGGGCGUUUUGGGUGUUCUUGGUUGAUUUCUAAACUGAUCUUUAUUUUUUAAAGCAUAAACAGCAGUUUUACCCAGAAAAAUUAUUCAAAAAAAAAUUCAUUUGAGUGGGUAAACGUUGUCCUAUUGAUCUGAAAUUUUAUAUACAUGUUUUUGGCACUGUGAUUGAAUAUAAAAAAAUUAUUCCCGCAAAAAAAUCAGUCAAAAAAGUCAAAGUAAUAAAAAAAGACGAAAUUCAAUAAAAAUUUAAAAAAAGAUUCAGCGGGUUGAAUUUGGUGCCCAAAAUUUCCAGAUCAAAAAUUCAAUAUGUAAGGACACUCCAGAUUUAAUUUCGUGAUUUUUGGAGAUCGGGAACACCUCGAACGAAGUUGUCAAGUUACUCCGCAGUUUUUCGGGUUUUCUGUUUUCAGCAAUUUUUAUUGAUUCUUAGCUGUAGGUUUUCAUUUGUUUACCUUUAUUCUUCCUUUACGUUAUCUAACACCUUCUUGUUUCUUGUGUUAGUAGGAUUUAAACGUGUGCACAACUUCUUCCUCGGUGCAACACGAAUCAAUUGGUGUCUCGUCAGUUUUUGGCAUCCUAGUGCAAAUUAGGAUUCUUUGGUAGUUUGGUUCACACUCUCUAAUUGGUUGAUAUAAACUCUGAUAAAGAACUCACAAGAUUGAAUUCGACC
RNAcentral lists this long non-coding RNA (1219 nucleotides) under Gossypium barbadense (sea-island cotton). RNAcentral describes it as "long non-coding RNA (GBAR_LNC013242)". Lineage: Eukaryota; Viridiplantae; Streptophyta; Magnoliopsida; Malvales; Malvaceae. The record is from RNAcentral.